AAAUCGACCGCCUGGGGAGUACGGCCGCAAGGUUAAAACUCAAAUGAAUUGACGGGGGCCCGCACAAGCGGUGGAGCAUGUGGUUUAAUUCGAUGCAACGCGAAGAACCUUACCUGGUCUUGACAUCCACAGAACUUUCCAGAGAUGGAUUGGUGCCUUCGGGAACUGUGAGACAGGUGCUGCAUGGCUGUCGUCAGCUCGUGUUGUGAAAUGUUGGGUUAAGUCCCGCAACGAGCGCAACCCUUAUCCUUUGUUGCCAGCGGUUAGGCCGGGAACUCAAAGGAGACUGCCAGUGAUAAACUGGAGGAAGGUGGGG
RNAcentral lists this ribosomal RNA (316 nucleotides) under Pseudomonas aeruginosa. RNAcentral describes it as "bacterial SSU rRNA". It matches the Rfam family "Bacterial small subunit ribosomal RNA", at positions 862 to 1178 of the family's 1533-position model. Lineage: Bacteria; Pseudomonadati; Pseudomonadota; Gammaproteobacteria; Pseudomonadales; Pseudomonadaceae. The record is from RNAcentral.